Molecule: long non-coding RNA, 712 nt
Organism: Papaver somniferum (opium poppy)
Lineage: Eukaryota; Viridiplantae; Streptophyta; Magnoliopsida; Ranunculales; Papaveraceae
Exons: 5
Source: RefSeq, a predicted model, not a curated record
CAUUGCCGGUCCCAAGCCCGGAUAAAGGAGGAGGGAGAAGGAUUGAUUUAUACUCUCAGUAUCAACUACUAACCCUUGUAUCCUUUUUAACUUCAGCUGGUUGGUGGACAUGAAGGAGAGCUACUCAUACAUGGUACCUUUCAGGUCCAAUUCUAUCCUAUACAAAUGUACAACCAGGAUAGAAAGAUCUCGCACAAUUGAGGCCAAAGAAAAAGAUCAAGUAGAUGCAAUCCUGAAAAUUUUGGUGGGUGCAGAGCCGAAGAAUUCGUUUUCUAGCUUCUCAAUUGGUGUAAAAGAUAAUCCUUUGAAGCAACCCGGGGCAUAAAAAAAAGAAUAUGAUCAGACUGACUUAUCUUCAGGAGAAGAAAGGGAAACUUUAUGUUUGGUGGUGCUAGACUAAACAAAAGUGGAAAGAUCGGAACAAGAAGCUAUAGUAAAGGUGGCAUUAUAUGGAAACCGGAAGACAGGGUUGGAUAAGUGUAAUAAGAUUUGAGUGAACAAGUUGUAGGUGAUUUCUUAAAUUCUUGUAGAAAAUGUAUCCACUGCAUAUAUGCAUUAUGAAGUCUGGUGACAUUGAUUGAACAAGAAACUCUAAAUAUGCUCAACCUUGAUCCCAAAUUAUAGAGACAAACCUAUUAUCCAUAGUUUUUUUUUGUUUUGUUAAAAUUAAAAUUUAUUAGAUCAAUGAAAUAGAAUUGAUUGAUUGUAUGGA